GCUUGAAUAGCUUAGUUGGUAAAGCGUUGGAUUCUUAAAUCAUAGGUACAAGGUUCAAGUC
Non-coding RNA from Drosophila simulans, 61 nucleotides. The record is from Rfam. Lineage: Eukaryota; Metazoa; Arthropoda; Insecta; Diptera; Drosophilidae.